GUGGGGAAUAUUGGGCAAUGGGCGCAAGCCUGACCCAGCAACGCCCCGUGAAGGAAGAAGGCUUUCGGGUUGUAAACUUCUUUUACCAGGGACGAAACAAAUGACGGUACCUGGUGAAUAAGCCACGGCUAACUACGUGCCAGCAGCCGCGGUAAUACGUAGGUGGCGAGCGUUAUCCGGAUUUAUUGGGUGUAAAGGGCGUGUAGGCGGGACAGCAAGUCAGAUGUGAAAACCAGAGGCUCAACCUCUGGCCUGCAUUUGAAACUGUUGUUCUUGAGUGUCGGAGAGGUAAUCGGAAUUCCGUGUGUAGCGGUGAAAUGCGUAGAUAUACGGAGGAACACCAGUGGCGAAGGCGGAUUACUGGACGAUAACUGACGCUGAGGCGCGAAAGCGUGGGGAGCAAACAGGAUUAGAUACCCGUGUAGUCC
Molecule: ribosomal RNA, 428 nt
Filed under: uncultured bacterium
Lineage: Bacteria
Description: partial 16S ribosomal RNA
Rfam family: Bacterial small subunit ribosomal RNA
Source: RNAcentral